UCCAGCAGCCGCGGUAAUACGUAGGUGGCAAGCGUUGUCCGGAAUUAUUGGGCGUAAAGCGCGCGCAGGUGGUUUCUUAAGUCUGAUGUGAAAGCCCACGGCUCAACCGUGGAGGGUCAUUGGAAACUGGGGAACUUGAGUACAGAAGAGGAAAGUGGAAUUCCAAGUGUAGCGGUGAAAUGCGUAGAGAUUUGGAGGAACACCAGUGGCGAAGGCGACUUUCUGGUCUGUAACUGACACUGAGGCGCGAAAGCGUGGGGAGCGAACAGGAUUAGAUACCCUGGUAGUCCACGCCGUAAACGAUGAGUGCUAAGUGUUAGAGGGUUUCCGCCCUUUAGUGCUGCAGCUAACGCAUUAAGCACUCCGCCUGGGGAGUACGGUCGCAAGAC
Molecule: small RNA, 389 nt
Filed under: uncultured Bacillus sp.
Lineage: Bacteria; Bacillati; Bacillota; Bacilli; Caryophanales; Bacillaceae
Description: partial contains 16S ribosomal RNA, 16S-23S ribosomal RNA intergenic spacer, and 23S ribosomal RNA
Rfam family: Bacterial small subunit ribosomal RNA
Source: RNAcentral